Molecule: ribosomal RNA, 449 nt
Filed under: uncultured bacterium
Lineage: Bacteria
Description: partial 16S ribosomal RNA
Rfam family: Bacterial small subunit ribosomal RNA
Source: RNAcentral
GUCGAGAAUCUUUCACAAUGGGGGCAACCCUGAUGGAGCGACGCCGCGUGGAGGAUAAGGUCUUCGGAUUGUAAACUCCUGUCAUGCGUGAACAAGGUUGCUUGGAUAAUACCUGAGCAAAUUGAUGGUAGCGCAAGAGGAAGAGACGGCUAACUCUGUGCCAGCAGCCGCGGUAAUACAGAGGUCUCAAGCGUUGUUCGGAAUCACUGGGCGUAAAGGGUGCGUAGGUGGCGUGGCAAGUCAGAUGUGAAAGCCCGGGGCUCAACCUCGGAACUGCAUCCGAUACUGCCAUGCUAGAGUACUGGAGGGGUGACUAGAAUUCUCGGUGUAGCAGUGAAAUGCGUGGAUAUCGAGAGGAAUACCAAAGGCGUAGGCAGGUCACUGGACAGUUACUGACACUGAGGCACGAAGGCCAGGGGAGCGAACGGGAUUAGAUACCCGAGUAGUCC